Molecule: long non-coding RNA, 4395 nt
Organism: Eriocheir sinensis (Chinese mitten crab)
Lineage: Eukaryota; Metazoa; Arthropoda; Malacostraca; Decapoda; Varunidae
Exons: 2
Source: RefSeq, a predicted model, not a curated record
UGGUGCACGAGUGUUAUUGUUCAGAUCCAUAACAGUUUACUCCUAGCACACUGUUCCUCUCAACAUUGUGACACAUGACUCCUUGCUUCUCUUUCCUUAAUCUUUUCCUUCUCUAUCAAAUAAUAUUUAUGUACUUAAUGAUUUCAAUUCUCCAUCAUCUCUCACCUGAUCACCCAAAAAAUUUCCCAGUAAUAAUAUUACAAGGGAUAAGAUCAUUGUUGAAGAUGGAGGUGAUCAGUGUAACCAAAAAAAAAAAAAAUAAAAUAAAAUAAAUAAAUAAAGUAUAGAAGAACAGAGUGAGACAAGUCAGCAAGACUUUGUACACAGCAGCAAUAUUGAUGUGAAAUAAGGUUCCUGUUCCUUUGUUUCUGAGCCACAAAGGUACAGGCCCCUCAUCACAUGACCUGUAUAAGAGGAGGCCUUCGUAAGUGUAUAAGAGGAAGCCUCCCAGGUGUGGCUGAGACAGGGAAGGGUAGCAUCAUGUACACCAAUAAAACAAAAGAUCAGUGAGUGGAGGGAUUUAUUUUGAUAAUAAUAUGCUUCACCACUGAAUGCAGAGAAAAAUAUCAUCUACAACUAACUCUAUCCUGCAGUCUACUCAUUUACUGGUGUGUUAUUUCACCCUCCACCAAGGUUUGACUACACGACACUCACGAUCGCCAGCCAGUGUCCUCCUUGACCGAGACUGGAGCUCACUAGUGACAAACCUCUGGGCAUGGCUGAAGCCUCCCACCCACACACACACAGGAGGCAGAACACAACCCAGUACCCAUGCACUGCUGGCUGAACACGGGCAAGAAUAUAUGGAGACUGACAAUCCAACUCCACUUCAUCCGGGAAUUGAACCCAGGACCUCUUGGGUGUGAGGCAAGUGUGCUUACCACUACAUCAUGGAGUGUGUGUGUGUGUGUGUGUGUGUGUGUGUGUAUUUACCUAGUUGUGACAUACGGGAAAAGAGCUACGCUCACGGUCCCGUCUCCAUAUCCGCUCUUGUCCAACUUUUCCUUAAAAUCAUUAAUGUUUCUUGCACAAACCACCUCCUCCUCCAGCCUAUUCCACAGCUCAAUGCUUCUGUUUGGGAAGCUAAACUUUUUCACAUCUCGCCUACACGUGGUCCCCCUCAACUUCUUUCUAUGUCCUCUCGUUUCUCUCUCGUUCCACACAUACAGGUCCUCUGUCCAAAUGAUCCACUCCGCUCGCCACCCUGUACACCGCUAUCAGGUCUCCUCUUUCUCUUUUUCUCUCCAGGGUUGUGAGCCCCGUGCUAUUGAGUCUCUCUUCAUAAGUCCGAUAUCUAAGUUCCGGUACCAUCUUAGUUGCCACUCUGCACUCUUUCCAGCUUUCUUAUGUUCUCCUUUUCGUGAGGAGACCAGACCACUGCUGCAUACUCCAACCUUGGCCUUAUCAUUGUAACUAUUAUUUUCAUUAUCUCCUCGUCCAAAUACACAAAUGCCGUCCUUAUGUUCCUCAGUAAAUUCAUAGUUUGUCCCGUUAUCCUGUUGAUGUGUUUGUCCGGCGACAUGUUCUCUGAAACUGUGUGUGUGUGUGUGUGUGUGUGUGUGUGUGUGUGUGUGUACUACAUAAUUCACUAUUUCUUUCUUACUUUAUUGAGAGACAUGGAGUUAUUCAGACCACAUAGAGCUACUUCUCCAAUAGCUAAGAAUAAAUAAACAUGAUUAUUAUUCCCAAAAGACAGAUGGAAAUACCUAUACCAUCAACAAUGCCCUAUGCACAGGUCAGUCUGGGCUCAGCUUAUGCUACUCUUUCAGGCCAAAUGAAUUACCCACAUCAUAUAAUCACUAGCUUUGUGUUGUUAUGAAAGCACUAACAGACUAAAAACUAUUAGAAUCUUUUUUCCCUUCAUACCUCUUGUGGUAAUGACAGCACUCUUACUAAAACAGGCUCACUAUACCCCUAUCAGCACCUCUGUUCAAACAAUGCUCACCCUACGGCAGCAGCCUCGUUCCUUUGCCUGUGACCCAAUGAAAGGAUUAAAUUUAUGGCAAGGGAAGGUGGGUGGUGUUGAGAUCAAAGGAGCUGCCCUAUGUAGGCUGCCUGGAGGUCCCUCAUGUACUUCUCUUCUUAUUCAUUUUGUAACAGUAUGAAGUGAGCAGCUGCAUCAUUCACUUUGUUAAUCAUCAAUCCAGUAUUCUUAAUCCCCUGUGGGUAAAGUAUGUCAAGAGUGUGUGUCACCAGUGCCAGCAGACAUCACUGAGGCACUCAUGCAAGGCUAGUGCCAUCUGUUGGGCAUGGUUUUUGACAGACGUUAUGACACAGGGCAUAAUAGCUUGUCCCCCCAGCAAGAAUGUGAAGAGUGUGGUGAAGACAAUGAAUAUGUUCUGAGAGCUACACUGAUAGCAAGGCCUUUAAAUAUAUAAAUAGGCUAUAUGAGUCUAUUUUAGCUAUUCUUGUGUAGUUAUUUCUUUCCUUUACUGGGACUAAGAGUUCCUAUGAAGCAGGGGAGUGGAAGGCAGGGGUGGCAGAGCAAGGCCAAGGCUCCACUCACUAUGCUGACUGCAAGGCAUUUCAAUACAACAAUAAGAUAACAUAACAAUGAUAACAGUAACACUCUUGAAAAUGCUCCAUAAGUACAGGAAAAGUCUCUUAAUCCAAUUGUUGCAGGUUAAAAUUCCCCAAAGGCUGAAUUUUAAAGGCAGGGGAUUACAAUACAAAAUAAUACAACCAUCGACAUUCUCUAACCCUGACACAGUGAGAGAUUUGGGUUUGUCAUUUUCCUUGUACUAUCCAGGCUGAUAUGCUCUACACUCCCUAAUUUUCCAGGAGGUUCACCUAUUAAUUUCAAGAAGACUAUUAACCCGUCUGCUGCGAUUGGCAUGGAUUUGACCUUCACUGGUAGCCUGGUAACAUAUAGUCCCAGGUCUUUCUCUGCCUCUGUGGUGGAUAGUGGAGUGUUUCCCAUGUGGUAUUGGUGUGCUGGAUAUCCCUUCACUGGUAGCCUGGUAACAUAUAGUCCCAGGUCUUUCUCUGCCUCUGUGGUGGAUAGUGGAGUGUUUCCCAUGUGGUAUUGGUGUGCUGGAUAUCCCUUCACUGGUAGCCUGGUAACAUACACUCCCAGGUCUUUCUCUGCCUCUGUGGUGGAUAGUGGAGUGUUUCCCAUGUGGUAUUGGUGUGCUGGAUAUCCCCUCCCAAGAUGCAGGACUUUAUAUUUUUCUUCAAUGAAUUGUAGCAGACUAUUUUUGUUUCAUUCCUGUAGCUUGGUGAAGUCUUCUUGUAGGAAAUCCGCAAUCAAAGAAUUAAGGUUAUACGAAUACAAAUGGACAGCUUAGUGUUCAAUUUCAUCCUUCUGCAUUUUGAAAGAGCCAGUCUCCUUGUAUUAUCCAGCCAGAUUUGCUCUAUAUUCCCUCUUUAUUUACUAUUAAGUUCAAGAAAACUGUUAAGGUUAUAAGUAUACAGAAAGACAUAUCAAGUCCCAUCCUUUUGUAUUUUGAAAGAGACGCUUGGUUGCUUUGGUUUCGUCACAGCAGGGGAAAGAAUACAGUAUUUUCGCCUUUAAUCACAUGGAUGCAGAUUUACUACAAGACCUCACCAAACUACAGGAAUGGAACAAAAAGUGGCUGCUACAAUUCAAUGAAGAAAAAUGUAAAGUCAUGCACCUUGGGAGGGGAAAUCCGGCAUACCAAUACCACAUGCGAGUGCUAAUCACAGCAGACAGGUUAAGGACCAAGGAUUGACAGCUGCUAUUCAGAUUAAAGGACUUUCACCGCACGUUCAUGUCAGCACACAUAAUAAUCGUCCUGCCUCAGCUCACAAACAGGGCACGAGUUCUUUUCUUAAAUAGUACAACAAUUUUUAACAUUAGUGAGUUUAUUUUUGGUAAUUAGUGUGUGAGGCUCAGUAAUAUCCUCCAUGUAGCCAUUACCAUCCUGCUAGAAGAGUUACUGCACGUCCUUAGCUAAAUGUAACAACAGUUUGAUUUUUUGAAGGUCAAGUCUGAAGAGUGGUUGAUUCUAAUAUGAAUACCACUUCCCAGGGGCAUAAAUAAAGUUCAUUCCUCAAUUUUCUAAAAGUCAAGUUAAGGGGAAUGACUCGUAUGAAUACUACUUUCCAGGGGCAUAAAGGUCAUUCCUCAAGUCUCUAAAGGUCAAGUUAAGGGAGACAACCUUAUCUUAUGUGAAUACUACUUUGCUGGGGCAUAAAUAAAGUUCAUUCCUCAACUUUCUAAAGGUCAAGUUAAGGGGAAUGACUCUUAGGUGAAUACUACUUUCCCAGGGCAUAAAUUAAGUUCAUUCCUCAUUUUUCUAAAAAUCAAGAACUUGGAUAUCUGGGAAUAGUCUACUUAAAAAUCAGAUCAUGGAGGAAAGGGAUCAGAAGGCAGACCAUAGAGUUAACCAAGAGACUCAUGAGAGGUGGAAGUGUAAGAAUGGAAGUAAAGAA